This 76-nucleotide transfer RNA is filed under the name Actinoplanes octamycinicus. RNAcentral's name for it is "tRNA-His". It matches the Rfam family "tRNA". Rfam says of the family: Transfer RNA (tRNA) molecules are approximately 80 nucleotides in length. Their secondary structure includes four short double-helical elements and three loops (D, anti-codon, and T loops). Further hydrogen bonds mediate the characteristic L-shaped molecular structure. tRNAs have two regions of fundamental functional importance: the anti-codon, which is responsible for specific mRNA codon recognition, and the 3' end, to which the tRNAs corresponding amino acid is attached (by aminoacyl-tRNA synthetases). tRNAs cope with the degeneracy of the genetic code in two manners: having more than one tRNA (with a specific anti-codon) for a particular amino acid; and 'wobble' base-pairing, i.e. permitting non-standard base-pairing at the 3rd anti-codon position. RNAcentral also lists the same sequence under 3 other names. Lineage: Bacteria; Bacillati; Actinomycetota; Actinomycetes; Micromonosporales; Micromonosporaceae. The record is from RNAcentral.
GUGGUCGUAGCUCAGUUGGUAGAGCACCUGGUUGUGGUCCAGGGGGUCGCGGGUUCGAGUCCCGUCGAUCACCCCA